This is a long non-coding RNA of Acinonyx jubatus (cheetah), 372 nucleotides long. RefSeq lists it as uncharacterized. NCBI's taxonomy places the organism in Eukaryota, Metazoa, Chordata, Mammalia, Carnivora, Felidae. The transcript has 3 exons. The record is from RefSeq and is a predicted model, not a curated record.
UUUAAUUUUUAUAAAUAUAUUGGUCUGCAAUAGGAUGGAAAUUAAACAAGACCAAAAACUAGUCAUCUACCAGAUAGUUGGAGGAGCACUGCCCUAGAGCUCUGGUGCGAACAGCUUGCUCUCUGUUACCAGCUCUGUGGCAAAGAGGAGACGUGCUCAGAAAUCACUUAGGCAUAAAGGAAGCAAGAAAGAAGUUACAAAAGCAUCAAGAAAGUUGGUCUAGGGGCAAGGAAUGCCGAAGACAGUGAUGAGAUCACUGUCACAUAAAGCCGGAUGGUCAGAUACAACAGUGAAAAAGAAGAUAGCAGAUCGCAUAUUGCAAAAACCACUCAAGAUGGUUCAAGAAGAUAUUGAAACUGGAAAAGUUCUCAG